This 93-nucleotide transfer RNA is filed under the name Mycobacterium tuberculosis. Its description in RNAcentral is "tRNA-Arg(cct)". Lineage: Bacteria; Bacillati; Actinomycetota; Actinomycetes; Mycobacteriales; Mycobacteriaceae. The record is from RNAcentral.
CGCGCCGGGUCUCCGGCCGGGCCUGGCUGCUCCUGCUGGCCGGCAUCCUGCUGGUCAUGGUGGGCGGUGCGCUCGGGCUCCGCACCGACGCGC